GAUGAACGCUGGCGGCGUGCCUAAUACAUGCAAGUCGAGCGAACAGAUAAGGAGCUUGCUCCUUUGACGUUAGCGGCGGACGGGUGAGUAACACGUGGAUAACCUACCUAUAAGACUGGGAUAACUUCGGGAAACCGGAGCUAAUACCGGAUAACAUAUUGAACCGCAUGGUUCAAUAGUGAAAGGCGGCUUUGCUGUCACUUAUAGAUGGAUCCGCGCCGUAUUAGCUAGUUGGUAAGGUAACGGCUUACCAAGGCAACGAUACGUAGCCGACCUGAGAGGGUGAUCGGCCACACUGGAACUGAGACACGGUCCAGACUACUACGGGAGGCAGCAGUAGGGAAUCUUCCGCAAUGGGCGAAAGCCUGACGGAGCAACGCCGCGUGAGUGAUGAAGGUCUUCGGAUCGUAAAACUCUGUUAUCAGGGAAGAACAAAUGUGUAAGUAACUGUGCACAUCUUGACGGUACCUGAUCAGAAAGCCACGGCUAACUACGUG
RNAcentral lists this ribosomal RNA (497 nucleotides) under uncultured bacterium. Its description in RNAcentral is "partial 16S ribosomal RNA". It matches the Rfam family "Bacterial small subunit ribosomal RNA", at positions 28 to 507 of the family's 1533-position model. The record is from RNAcentral.